AGAGUUUGAUCAUGGCUCAGAUUGAACGCUGGCGGCAGGCCUAACACAUGCAAGUCGAACGGUAACAGGAAGCAGCUUGCUGCUUUGCUGACGAGUGGCGGACGGGUGAGUAAUGUCUGGGAAACUGCCUGAUGGAGGGGGAUAACUACUGGAAACGGUGGCUAAUACCGCAUAACGUCGCAAGACCAAAGAGGGGGACCUUCGGGCCUCUUGCCAUCAGAUGUGCCCAGAUGGGAUUAGCUAGUUGGUGAGGUAACGGCUCACCAAGGCGACGAUCCCUAGCUGGUCUGAGAGGAUGACCAGCCACACUGGAACUGAGACACGGUCCAGACUCCUACGGGAGGCAGCAGUGGGGAAUAUUGCACAAUGGGCGCAAGCCUGAUGCAGCCAUGCCGCGUGUAUGAAGAAGGCCUUCGGGUUGUAAAGUACUUUCAGCGGGGAGGAAGGUGUUGUGGUUAAUAACCGCAGCAAUUGACGUUACCCGCAGAAGAAGCACCGGCUAACUCCGUGCCAGCAGCCGCGGUAAUACGGAGGGUGCAAGCGUUAAUCGGAAUUACUGGGCGUAAAGCGCACGCAGGCGGUCUGUCAAGUCGGAUGUGAAAUCCCCGGGCUCAACCUGGGAACUGCAUUCGAAACUGGCAGGCUUGAGUCUUGUAGAGGGGGGUAGAAUUCCAGGUGUAGCGGUGAAAUGCGUAGAGAUCUGGAGGAAUACCGGUGGCGAAGGCGGCCCCCUGGACAAAGACUGACGCUCAGGUGCGAAAGCGUGGGGAGCAAACAGGAUUAGAUACCCUGGUAGUCCACGCCGUAAACGAUGUCUACUUGGAGGUUGUGCCCUUGAGGCGUGGCUUCCGGAGCUAACGCGUUAAGUAGACCGCCUGGGGAGUACGGCCGCAAGGUUAAAACUCAAAUGAAUUGACGGGGGCCCGCACAAGCGGUGGAGCAUGUGGUUUAAUUCGAUGCAACGCGAAGAACCUUACCUGGUCUUGACAUCCACAGAACUUUCCAGAGAUGGAUUGGUGCCUUCGGGAACUGUGAGACAGGUGCUGCAUGGCUGUCGUCAGCUCGUGUUGUGAAAUGUUGGGUUAAGUCCCGCAACGAGCGCAACCCUUAUCCUUUGUUGCCAGCGAUUAGGUCGGGAACUCAAAGGAGACUGCCAGUGAUAAACUGGAGGAAGGUGGGGAUGACGUCAAGUCAUCAUGGCCCUUACGACCAGGGCUACACACGUGCUACAAUGGCGCAUACAAAGAGAAGCGACCUCGCGAGAGCAAGCGGACCUCAUAAAGUGCGUCGUAGUCCGGAUUGGAGUCUGCAACUCGACUCCAUGAAGUCGGAAUCGCUAGUAAUCGUGGAUCAGAAUGCCACGGUGAAUACGUUCCCGGGCCUUGUACACACCGCCCGUCACACCAUGGGAGUGGGUUGCAAAAGAAGUAGGUAGCUUAACCUUCGGGAGGGCGCUUACCACUUUGUGAUUCAUGACUGGGGUGAAGUCGUAACAAGGUAACCGUAGGGGAACCUGCGGUUG
RNAcentral lists this ribosomal RNA (1522 nucleotides) under Salmonella enterica subsp. enterica serovar Berta. Its description in RNAcentral is "bacterial SSU rRNA". It matches the Rfam family "Bacterial small subunit ribosomal RNA". RNAcentral also lists the same sequence under 11 other names. Lineage: Bacteria; Pseudomonadati; Pseudomonadota; Gammaproteobacteria; Enterobacterales; Enterobacteriaceae. The record is from RNAcentral.